Molecule: non-coding RNA, 945 nt
Filed under: Pseudoscopelus astronesthidens
Lineage: Eukaryota; Metazoa; Chordata; Actinopteri; Scombriformes; Chiasmodontidae
Description: 12S ribosomal RNA
Rfam family: Bacterial small subunit ribosomal RNA
Source: RNAcentral
CAAAGGCUUGGUCCUGACUUUACUGUCAACUUUAGCUAUAUUUACACAUGCAAGUAUCCGCACCCCUGUGAGAAUGCCCCACAGUUCUCUGCCCGAAAACAAGGAGCUGGUAUCAGGCACACUCGACUUAGCCCAUGACGCCUUGCUUAGCCACACCCCCAAGGGAGUUCAGCAGUGAUAAACCUUAAGCCAUGAGUGAAAACUUGACUUAGUUAAAGCUAAGAGGGCCGGUAAAACUCGUGCCAGCCACCGCGGUUAUACGGGUGGCCCAAGUUGACAGACGCCGGCGUAAAGCGUGGUUAGGAGACACUUAAACUAAAGCCGAACGCCCUCAAAGCAGUUAUACGCAUCCGAAGGUAUGAAGCCCCACCACGAAAGUGGCUUUAUAAGAUCCGACUCCACGAAAGCUAUUAAACAAACUGGGAUUAGAUACCCCACUAUGCUUAGCCGUAAACAUUGAUAGAAUAAUACACAACCUAUCCGCCCGGGUACUACGAGCAUUAGCUUAAAACCCAAAGGACCUGGCGGUACUUUAGACCCCCCUAGAGGAGCCUGUUCUAUAACCGAUGGUCCCCGUUGAACCUCACCCUCUCUUGUUUUUCCCGCCUAUAUACCGCCGUCGUCGUUUACCCUGUGAAGGGCUCACAGUGAACAAAAUUGGCAUCGCCCAAAACGUCAGGUCGAGGUGUAGCAUAUGAGAGGGGAAGAAAUGGGCUACAUUCGCUGGGCCAGCGAAUACGAAUGAUGGAAUGAAAAUGUUCAUCUGAAGGAGGAUUUAGCAGUAAGCGAAGGACAGAGUAUUUCGCUGAAGUAGGCUCUAAAGUGCGUACACAUCGCCCGUCACUCUCCCCAAGCUUGUUUAUCCUGUAAUUAAACCGCUACCGCUGCAUAAGGGGAGGCAAGUCGUAACAUAGUAAGUGCACCGGAAGGUGCGCUUGGAAAAAU